Molecule: long non-coding RNA, 2441 nt
Filed under: Piliocolobus tephrosceles (Ugandan red Colobus)
Lineage: Eukaryota; Metazoa; Chordata; Mammalia; Primates; Cercopithecidae
Description: lncRNA (ENSPTEG00000001724.1)
Source: RNAcentral
UAAGUAUACUUUAUCGAGUUUUAACUAAUAGUAAAUAUAUUUUUAAUAAUAUUCUUAUUAUUGUAUCAUAUAAAAACAAGUACUUAAAUACCAAGGAUGUCAGUGGUAGUGCCAAUAAUGGUGAUAGUGCCGAUACCAAGACAACUCACAUCAAUGAUAGUCUUUCACUUAAAAAACAUAGCCUUGGUAGUUUAAAUAUAUGUAAUAAAUUAAAAAAUAUAAUGGUCAAUGAUCGUGUAAAAACCAUAUAUGAUAAUGUGUUUAAUAUUGAUAAAAAAAAUAAAAAAAUUGAACUAAGUAAUAAACAUUUUGUUUACUAUGAUUAUUUGUUUAUAUGCUUUGAUAAAGAAGACAUCACUACAUACAAUUUCCAAUUAAAUAGUUACCAAGCAGGAAAAAAAAAAAACUUUAACUUUAUAGAGCAGUAUAAAAAUGAAGACUACCAAAAUGAAAAACUUUAUUUUUUAGCUAAAGCGAAAGACUAUGAAAAAUAUGAAAAGCUUGAAUGUUUACACUAUGACAGAAGAGAGGAAGAAAAAAAAAAAAAAAAAAAAAAUUAUAAAAAAAGAGCAGAAACAAAAACUGAAGAAAAGAUUGAAGAAAAAGCUAGAAAAAAAGAACGAAAUUUAUAUAAAAAAAACAUACAUGAAAAAGAAGAAGACGAAUAUACACAAUCUAGCUCAAAUUCAAAUGACGAAAAUACGAAUGGGCACAAAAUAAAAACAAAUGAACAAAAUAAAUUAAACAGCAUGAAAAAAACGAAGCAAUUAAAUAAAUACGAGAACAAUAAUAAAUGGGGAAAUUACAUACAUAUAAAUGAUAAAAAUGAAAUAACUCAAGACCAUAUAGAAAAUAGUGAUAAUGAACGUAGUAGUGAUAAUUAUAGUUAUUCUACAUUGUCUUCUAGUUGUUCAUGGACCAGCGAUGAAAGUGAUGGUAAAGAAGAAGAAGAGGGAGAAGGAGAAGAUGAAGAAAAAGAAGGAAUAACUGAUGAAAGUAAUAUAGAUAAACAUGUAGAAAAUGCUAAUAUUAAUGUAAAUGUAGAAGGUAAUAAUAACAUAAGCGAAAAAUCAGACGAAAGCGAUAAUGAUUCUGAUGAUAAAAAUACUGUGGAAACUGAAAAGGUCAAAAAAAAUGACAUAAAAAAAAAUGAGCAUACAUUUAAGCCACAAUGUUAUAAUAAACAAAUAAAAAAAGAAAUCAGAGGAGGAAUAAAUGAAACAGUACCACAAACAAAAGGACAUAUAUUAUCUGUAGAAAAAAUAAAUGAAAACUCUCAGGAAAAACAGGGUAAAAAUAAGAAACAUGUAAGCCAAAAUGGAACAGAUGAUAAUGGUCAAAAUAAUGACCACAAUAGUGAAGAACAAGUAGCUAGGAAAAACUCAAACGAAACAACAGAAAUAUACACGUCAUCAAAAAUAGAUAAAAAUAAAAGCAUGUUUGAUAAAAACUCAAGUCGAAAUGUUGACGGAGUGUUUAGUAUUAGUGAUCCCUUUCUUGAAAUUUGUUUUCAUAAAAAUAGUAAAUAUAUGAAAAUAGUAAAACAAUGUGUUAGUUAUAUAGUUUUAUAUAGCAAUAACUUAGACAUUUUUAAUAUGGUUACAUUUUUUUUAGAAAAUAAUAUUAAUGCAUAUAAAUUGAUAAUUAUUUAUCCACAUAUAUGUAAUAAAUGUUAUGAGAAGAAUACAAUAGAAAAUAUAAAAAAUCAGAUAUUUAAUCAAAAAAAAUAUUACAAACAUAAUAAACAUUUAAUGAAAAAUUAUUUAUUUUCAUGUGAUAGUCAUAAAAAUAACUUUUAUCAUAAGAAUUAUGUUUUUAAUAAUAUUAAAUAUGUUUUGAAUAAAGUCUUUUAUCUAUUUACUUUUUUAAAAAUACGUAUUAUAUAUGGUCAAAUAGUAGGUUUGAAAAAAAAUAAAAAUAAUCGAUUAAAAUAUAUAAUUCUACGUUUAUGUAGACAUAAAAAAAUAGAUCCAUCUAUUGUACCAAAUCAAAAUUUUAUUAAUAAAAAUACUAUUUUAGUCCCCUGUAGAGUGUUAUUAUCUUCGUAUAUAUUUGACAUAAACAACCACCUUUACUACAUUCUAAAUAAAUCAUCGAUAGUUUACAAUGAGCAAAUAUGUGUUAAUCAUAACUUUCAGGUGGGGCACGAAUGCUUUCUUGAUUGGAUACGUACUUGCUUAUAUACACACUUGCUUACGUUUGCACACUUGCUUAUAUACACACUUGCUUAUAUACUCACUUGCUUACGUUUGCACACCUGCUUAUAUACACACUUGCUUACGUUUGCACACCUGCUUACAUACUCACUUGCUUACAUACGUACACACUUUGUUUUAUUUUUUCUCUUGUUAACAGACGAAUGACAACUUUAUUUUCAGUGCAGGAGAAUUAUGCGCUUUUUCGAACAAAUACAUAAUAAACAAAAAUGGUAGCCUUAACCA